GCUCUUCUGCAGAAAGUGAUCCCAGGAUAGGGGGCUGCCAUGGGAGUCAGGGAUUUGCACCCCAAAUUUCAGGUGGUAUCUGAGCUCUGUGUGUCCUUCCUACCCACCUCUCAGACAAGGUCUCCAAGCACAGAAGCUGAGCUAUUCCGGGUGGCCUGGAAGGAAGUAUCAGAACCAGGUGCUACUUACAUCUGAUAAACUCAAGUGGUGGACAGAACAGAGAGGGCCUCCUCCAAGGUGACUUGCUAAGUCCUCCCCUAACGACGAAAUAGAGAAGCUUCCUGCCCCUGUUACACAUGGCCUCCUCCCGGGCCCAGCAGCUCACCUGGACCACGGAAAGCACAGAAAGAACUGGCUGAAUGAAUCAAGAGAUCAAGUGUUCUCCCUGAGGCCCUGUAACAGCUCUGCAGCUGACUGCCCAGAAGGAAGCAGAAGUGAGUGACAAGUUGGGGGAACCAGAGCUUGCACACCAUAGGCCUGAACACUAGCCUCUGGGGAAAGGCAAGUCCAGCUGACCUUGGUGAAGUUAGGACCCGGGCCGAGGCCACCUCUUCUGGUUCACCCUCUGCUGGCCUCCCAGCUUCUUUGGCUCAGCAACACCCAGGAUUCCAGGCAUGUUUGCCUCUGGCCUUCUAAAAAUACCCAGGCCACCCAGCACCUCCCAGAUGUCUGAGCGCUGAGUCUGUGAUUUCCCUGCCGGUAAUGGGACAGCCCCGGGGUGGGCAGGCGGGGGUGGCUCGAGCAGCUCAAGCCACUUCCUCUGCCUCCCAUCCCCUAGCCUACCAGAAGCUGGACCCAGCCCUGCCUCCCAAUCCUUGCAAGGCAAAGGAGGGUAGAGGCUAGCAGACCUCAGAGAUUGUUGACUCCAGUCUCUUCUUGGGACAGAUGGGAGAUCUGAAGUCUAAGGAUUGCUCAUGGCACUUGUGCCAUUAAGGUCCUCCUCACCCCACUCCCCAGCACUGUGUUCAUGCCUGCUGCUGUCUCACUUCCCACAUGCUACUUGGAGUCUAGGUCUUGGAGCCCAACCUGACUUCCUCCAUGCAGCUGAAAGCUCCUGACAGCAGUGAAGGGGAGGAUCCCUGUGGUCUCCAUGGUGCCUGGAAGAGUGUCCAAUCCAGAGCACACCAUCAGUAAACGUAGAUUGGAUUGAACAAUGUAGUGGCAGCUGGGGCAAUGGGUGGAGCACUGGGCUGGAGGACAAAGCCUCUGAAUUCUAUCUAGCCCAGGGUCAGCCACUGUGAUACUAUGCAUCCUCAUCAAUUGCCCUGGACAAACCUGUUUCUCCUGGGCUGGAUAGGAUGGUGUCUAAGGACUGAGCCAGCUCUGCUGAUAUGAAGCUGCAAGCUGAUGCCCUGCUGGAUAUUCCUGUCCCUUCUCUGCUCUACUGUAUGUCUGGGAGAGAUGGCACAACCUGUAGGUUCCAUCAGCUCCAGGUUCUCAGCUUCUGCUCCUCCCUCCGUGCUUCUGAACAUUCCACCUCUGGUCCUAGCCCCUGAGGCCCAGCUCUUCCAAUAGUGCCACUUCCACCUCUGCUGCUGGGUACACAGGGGUGAAUGCAUACCUACCUCGCUCACUAAUCAUGUGACCUUGGGUAAGGCAUUGCCCUUUUCUGGGCUUCAGUUUUAUCAUAUCUAAAAGGGAAUAAUAAGGCCUACCUUAAAGGAGUGCUAUGAGGAUGUAGGAGAUUCCAUAGCUCAGAUGUCAGGUUAUAUAUCACCUCCUGCAGAAAGUCUCCCCUGUCCUCCCAAGGAUGGCUCAGAUAGCAUUUGUUGCUGGCUCUUCAGUUCUGACCUUCCCAUGUUCACACUAUGUGGUCAUUGGCUCUCUAUGCAUCCAUCCCCCACCAAGCUGUGGGCUCCUCAAGGCCAGGAGUCUCCAGGACCCAGUACAGGACCUUUACAGAUGAAGUGCCUGGGAACGUUUUUUGACAGACACAGUGGGUGAGUAAAGCCUGAGAGAAAGGCAAGGGGUUGUGCAGAAGUCUGGGAGUCUGAGUAAGAAGUGGCCUGACUGACAGGGCAAGUUCUGGUGGUAUGAAUAUUGACAGCUGCUUGGAGCCCUUCCCCCAUUUCCCUGCUUGGUAAAUUCAUCCUUCAAGAUCCCAGGAGAGCAUCUCCUUCCCUGAGAAACCUGAUCACUCUCCCCUCUACCACAUUACACACUCCACUGUAGGUGUUCUUUACACACCUGUCUCCCUUCUCAGAUGUGAGUUCCCUGAAGGCAAGACCCUGUUGGAUCUCACAGCACCAAGCACUAGAUCUGGCAUGAGUUAGUCAAGGUUUUGGAGCAGAAGAAUGGAUGGAGGAAAUAAUUUCUGAAUCGAACUUGGAAUUGAACUGCCUGAACUUUAAUGCCCUUUCCAGCCUUAGGGAUGAUAAUGAAUUACCAAAGUGAGAAAAAUGGAGGCGCAAGCUGUUGUCAUCCUUCCAGAGGCACCCUCCAAGUGUGUGUGGGUGAAAUGUGAGCUGGAGAGAGGAUUGACAAAGAGCAGUGAAAACAUAUUCCUGGACCCCAUUCUUUUUUUUUUUUUUUUUUUUUUUGAGA
Molecule: long non-coding RNA, 2544 nt
Organism: Homo sapiens (human)
Lineage: Eukaryota; Metazoa; Chordata; Mammalia; Primates; Hominidae
Gene: IUR1
Product: imatinib upregulated ABL suppressing lncRNA 1
Exons: 4
Source: RefSeq, a predicted model, not a curated record